RNAcentral lists this ribosomal RNA (492 nucleotides) under uncultured bacterium. Its description in RNAcentral is "partial 16S ribosomal RNA". It matches the Rfam family "Bacterial small subunit ribosomal RNA", at positions 28 to 507 of the family's 1533-position model. The record is from RNAcentral.
GAUGAACGCUAGCUACAGGCUUAACACAUGCAAGUCGAGGGGAAACGCCAUCGAAAGCUUGCUUUUGAUGGGCGUCGACCGGCGCACGGGUGAGUAACGCGUAUCCAACCUGCCCACCACUUGGGGAUAACCUUGCGAAAGUAAGACUAAUACCCAAUGAUAUCUCUAGAAGACAUCUGAAAGAGAUUAAAGAUUUAUCGGUGAUGGAUGGGGAUGCGUCUGAUUAGCUUGUUGGCGGGGUAACGGCCCACCAAGGCAACGAUCAGUAGGGGUUCUGAGAGGAAGGUCCCCCACAUUGGAACUGAGACACGGUCCAAACUCCUACGGGAGGCAGCAGUGAGGAAUAGUGGUCAAUGGACGAGAGUCUGAACCAGCCAAGUAGCGUGCAGGAAGACGGCCCUAUGGGUUGUAAACUGCUUUUAUAAGGGAAUAAAGUGAGUCUCGUGAGACUUUUUGCAUGUACCUUAUGAAUAAGGACCGGCUAAUUCCGUG